RNAcentral lists this ribosomal RNA (507 nucleotides) under uncultured Pseudomonadota bacterium. RNAcentral describes it as "bacterial SSU rRNA". It matches the Rfam family "Bacterial small subunit ribosomal RNA", at positions 396 to 896 of the family's 1533-position model. The record is from RNAcentral. Lineage: Bacteria; Pseudomonadati; Pseudomonadota.
GCCGCGUGCAGGAUGAAGGCCUUCGGAUUGUAAACUGCUUUUGUACGGAACGAAACGGUUCGCCUUAAUACGGCGGGCUAAUGACGGUACCGUAAGAAUAAGCACCGGCUAACUACGUGCCAGCAGCCGCGGUAAUACGUAGGGUGCGAGCGUUAAUCGGAAUUACUGGGCGUAAAGCGUGCGCAGGCGGUUAUAUAAGACAGAUGUGAAAUCCCCGGGCUCAACCUGGGACCUGCAUUUGUGACUGUAUAGCUAGAGUACGGUAGAGGGGGAUGGAAUUCCGCGUGUAGCAGUGAAAUGCGUAGAUAUGCGGAGGAACACCGAUGGCGAAGGCAAUCCCCUGGACCUGUACUGACGCUCAUGCACGAAAGCGUGGGGAGCAAACAGGAUUAGAUACCCUGGUAGUCCACGCCCUAAACGAUGUCAACUGGUUGUUGGGUCUUCACUGACUCAGUAACGAAGCUAACGCGUGAAGUUGACCGCCUGGGGAGUACGGCCGCAAGGUUG